This 4016-nucleotide long non-coding RNA is filed under the name Mus musculus (house mouse). Its description in RNAcentral is "long non-coding RNA chr7:92445071-92449087". The record is from RNAcentral. Lineage: Eukaryota; Metazoa; Chordata; Mammalia; Rodentia; Muridae.
AAAGGAAAUAGGGAAAACAGAAAGAAGUCCCUUUGGAGAUGACAUACUAUCAGGGGAGGAUGAUUGCUUAGUUCCUUAGCUGGCAUGCGCAAAGACAAGUGUGUCCUGUGUGGAGGACUAACCUUAGAGAGGAGGAGAUUCCACCUGGCCUAGCUUUAUGGCUGUCAAUUGUCUAUUUUGCCAUUUAUAAGCUGAAAGAAGGCACUAAAGAUGAGAAUAAUUUAUACAAUAAAUAUAUUAAAUGUAUAGAAAUGAAUUUCUAUAGGUGAAAAAGUUUUGUGAAAUAUUUUGUAACGACUAAAAAACAUUGAAAGACUAAAUGUACGCACUCUCAGCAGAUGAUCAAAUUCAAGAAUUUGAGGCUGCACUCUCCCUUUUGUUGCCAAUGAUCCAUUCAGAGCAUCUGAGUUCCCUCCAGGUCUGACAAAGACUUCCCUUUCACUCCCCUCCCACACUGCCCAUGCACACUAGCACACUAGCGAUACACUCUUACGGAACACACUCCUGGAUAAAUUACCCUCAUGGAUAGUUUUGGAAGAGAUUUUUGUUACAAUUCUUUAAGCCCAUGGCUUUUCAGAUACAAACUCAUGCAAAUGAUCGAAAGGGAAAGAUUGCUUUCCUCUAGUUAAAUAGCCUGAGCCAACCACUCAGAUAGUCAAAUAACAUUGUUCCUAGUUACUUGCAUACAGUUCAAGAACCAUUCAGUAUUCUGGCAAACCAUAAGUCAUUAGAAUUAUCUUUUCUUUGUUUCACAGAGCAAUUGAAGUGUUUUGUAACAGCCCUAGUUGGCAUUAUAGGGGGAGAUCUGUCCUAAGAUGCACUAUUUCUCUGAGGAAGAGAAAAAAGAGAAGUUAUCUAGUUGGGAGUGGUGAGGGACGCACUUUGUUUCAGUAUAUAGGGCAAAGAGAACCACAAGAAAAGGACGAUUUAUGGCUUUGAGCUCAACCAAUUGAAUUGCCUUCCUUAGGGCUGCACCUGGACCAAGUUUAUUUUUCUAACAAUUAUACUAAUAACGAUUUUAAAAGAGAAACCUCCCAAAGCCUAUAAGCUGAAACACAAGAGUUAGCUUCCCAUUUUAGCGCUGAUGGGGUCAUCAGCCCUGGUUCUGCCCAAGGUGUUCAGAGAGAGACUUUUUAGUAUUAUUAAUAACCACUCAAGUCUGGGUUCUAUGCAUGCCCAGAUUAAGCCCCAUCGCCUUAUUUCUGGGGUACAUCAAGACCUGGCAGGGAUUCUGCCACACUGUGCAGUCAACCAGCACAUAGGCUGGAGUAUAAGAACAAAAGACAGAGCCAUCAAAGUGAUGGGGCUUCUUCUAAGUUAGACCAUCAGAGCUUAAAACUGAGAGUCUCUUUCCAAAAUCAACGGUCAUUCAUCUUUUACUAAAUAACCACCAUCUGCCCAGCUGCAGUCACCAAAAGAAAUGUUAAAUUACAAAAGUAAGCGUCUACCUAUAGUCUUGAGGCUGCCUUUGCCAAAUGAAGAGGUACCAAGCAGUCAUAUGUAAUUUUUUCCCUCGAUUUUCUAGAGAUAGCCUUAGAGGGCUCAAAAUGCUAAAAGACGUGUCCAUGUCUGCAACUCACCAGUUUCAGGUCACGGCCAACUUCCAUCAAUAUAGCUCUCAGAAGUUUUCUGCCACUAGAAUGCCAUUCCUGAUCCCAGCUCUCUUUAUAGGCCACCAUGAUAACUUCUUUGGUUUCUCCACUGAGCAUGCAACCAUUUACCUUAGAGGACUGUCAUUAAUGAGUAGAUGUUUUCUCUAGUUGUGUGAUGUGCUUUCCAUUUGAUAGUAUUGUGUGGCUGAGUACAAUCCAAUUGAACCACAAACCAUUGGUUUUGUAGUAAUAUAAUUAUUUAUUUUCCCAGUAUAGAUGCUUCCGGAUUAGCAUUAGCACUGAUUUUUUAUGUAGAUUUAUAUAAAUAUAAAUACAUAUAUAUUUGCUUGACGAAUCACCAAGCACAUUGGUGAGAGGGUCUUUUCCUAUAGAAUUCACUCAUCCGUUUUGUUGUGUUGUCCUGAGCUUCCCAAUGUUGAGGUCUCUAUGGCUCCAAAGAACUGGUGUAUUUUGCAGCAAAUCCAAUGGCAUAUGUGGAAAUGGCAUGAGAGUCACCCAGAUCACAUCUGGUGCAAAUGCACCUGGAGCCUCGGGCCAGACUGGUGCUAACACUGCAAACUUUGUCCGGAGCUCUCUCCAAUCUGAAGGCUCGCUGGGGGCACAGUGUCACCUUCACAUGCUGGGCCCUUUCGGAAAAGUGCCAGAUCGUGUCACUGGUGCUAUUUUUCAUGCUCUGGUACAAUGUGUAGCACCAUGGGGGUCUCAGCUUUACCAAAACCGAAAUCCCACCUGUCAGUCAGUUAUUGCUGAGGCAUUUGCUUAUUGCUCUUUUCCAUGAGAUAUGAUGGCCUAUUCUUAGAAGGCCCUUUCUCCCAGACCCAAAUUCAGGGGUUGGCUCUAUCCAUUUUGCAAGCCCAUCUAGAUGAAGCUGCACUCGGGUGCCUCUGUGAGCUGUCUUAGACCCUACUGCCAGCCCUUCAGGACGGAGUCAGCGGAUGCUCUGUACACCUCUGGCUCUCAUCUGUUUCUCCUCAUUUCUCCCACUCAUCUCCUCUCAUCACCUGUCAUUUUGACCCUCUCUUAUCCUUCCUGGGUUUUUUAACCUGCCCCUCUUCUCUCCUAUGUCUUUCUCUAUCCAUCUCCCCCUUCUCCAUCUCCCAUUCCCCUUAUUAGUCCUUCCUCCCAGACAUGACCACCCUCUUCUCUCCUCUCACAUAGUUCUGAUCAUCAGUACAUCCCGCUCCUAAGUUUCCUUGUCCUAUAAAGGGCUCACGGCUGAUUCAGACAGCAAGUCCAUACGAUGGACUCAUGACACAAAUACUUGGGGUCACCAUUUUACUCACUCAGCCCAGAAAGCAAAGCUGAGUGUGAGGCCCUGCCCUGGAGCCAGCCUGCACCACUGCCCCGGCAGUGCUGAUGCAAGAGCUGUGGGCCCCCUGGCACCUGGAAGCCUCCGCCUGGACCUUCUCCAGGAACUCACUCCCAGCACCGCCCAGGCUGAGGAUGCUUCCUUUCAACAGAGGCAAACUCUGGCCCCAACAAUUCUAACGAACCUCACUGAAGCCAUGACACCGCCCUGAUUUGGAGAGAGAUUUUUCCCCCUCUAUAUUCUUCUUCCCGUUUCCAUGUGAAGCCCCUCUGCUUUUCAGCUGGUGAUUGCUCUGGUGAGACUGAAUGGACUUGCUAGUGAAAUGACAUCUUUUUUUUCUGUCUUGGUCCUGCCUAAAAUUCCUACACAAAAGCAUUUAAGUCAAGGACUAAGGCUAAAUUUAUUAUCCUAAUGAGUCACUCCUGGGGAGACAUCAGUUCCCUUAAAGCAUGUGGAGUUCCUCCUGUGACAACUGAUUUUCCAGGAAACUCCAUAGAGAAUUCUGUGGAUAUGCAUUAAUUAUUUAAGGGUAUGAUAUAUAUGGUAUGCAUACCAUGUAUACACAUUACCUGAGGUCAGAGUCAAUGUUGGAAACACAUACACACUUCAGUCUGUAAAUAUUCUUCCUCACUGAAACCUGUGCUUCAGAAACCAUUUCUCGUACAGCUGUGCAGUUUCUUGUAGCAGCUGAAGACAAGCUAAGGCAGGCAGCGAAUUUAGACUGAGAUCAGCUGAAAGAGUACAGUUUCUCCCUUGCAGCUCACAAGGACAGACAGCUAAGUGGCAAGGUUGACUCCCAAUGGGAUGGCAAACUUUUCUUCUUUUCAAAUUUGUGUUUCCUAAGUGUAUCUUAACUUCUGAGUGCACCAGGUUGUACCCAUUAGAUCCUUUUACUAUGACAAUUUUGUGCUUCUCUCUGACAGGAUGUUUCUCCAGCAAGCUGUAACGCAGGAUGGGAGGGGAGGGAGGGGGAAUUACUCCUUGCCUGGCUGGAGUUUACAGAGGCACUGCACAGCUUACACUCCUGUUAAGUGUAAAUAUUCAACACUUCCAUUCCAUUUGUGUAAAAAAAUAAAGCACACACGAUUAUAAAA